GGCCUCUGGGUCCAACCUCCCACCCGUGUUUAUCGUACCUUGUUGCUUCGGCGGGCCCGCCUCACGGCCGCCGGGGGGCAUCCGCCCCCGGGCCCGCGCCCGCCGAAGACACACAAACGAACUCUUGUCUGAAGAUUGCAGUCUGAGUACUUGACUAAAUCAGUUAAAACUUUCAACAACGGAUCUCUUGGUUCCGGCAUCGAUGAAGAACGCAGCGAAAUGCGAUAAGUAAUGUGAAUUGCAGAAUUCAGUGAAUCAUCGAGUCUUUGAACGCACAUUGCGCCCCCUGGUAUUCCGGGGGGCAUGCCUGUCCGAGCGUCAUUGCUGCCCUCAAGCACGGCUUGUGUGUUGGGCUCUCGCCCCCCGCUUCCGGGGGGCGGGCCCGAAAGGCAGCGGCGGCACCGCGUCCGGUCCUCGAGCGUAUGGGGCUUCGUCACCCGCUCUGUAGGCCCGGCCGGCGCCCGCCGGCGAACACCAUCAAUCUUAACCAGGUUGACCUCGGAUCAGGUAGGGAUACCCGCUGAACUUAAGCAUAUCAAUAAGACGGAGGAA
RNAcentral lists this ribosomal RNA (552 nucleotides) under Penicillium oxalicum. RNAcentral's name for it is "eukaryotic LSU rRNA". The stretch from base 168 to 321 matches the Rfam family "5.8S ribosomal RNA". The record is from RNAcentral. Lineage: Eukaryota; Fungi; Ascomycota; Eurotiomycetes; Eurotiales; Aspergillaceae.